AGAUCCGCUGCUGCUGAGGAGAGGAGUGUCAACAGCAGCACCAUGGUAGCUCAACAGAAGAACCCUGAAGGCUAUGUGGGAUUUGCCAAUCUCCCAAAUCAAGUAUACAGAAAGUCAGUGAAAAGAGGGUUUGAAUUCACACUUAUGGUAGUAGGUGAAUCUGAAUUGGGAAAGUCAACAUUAAUCAACUCAUUAUUCCUCACAGAUUUGUAUUCUCCAGAGUAUCCAGGUCCGUCCCAUAGAAUAAAAAAGACUGUACAGGUGGAACAAUCCAAAGUUUUAAUCAAAGAAGGUGGUGUUCAAUUGCUGCUCACAAUAGUUGAUACCCCAGGAUUUGGAGAUGCAGUGGAUAAUGGUAAUUGCUGGCAGCCUGUUAUCGACUACAUUGAUAGUAAAUUUGAGGAUUACCUAAACGCAGAAUCUCGAGUGAACAGACGUCAGAUGCCUGAUAGCAGAGUGCAGUGUUGUUUAUACUUCAUUGCUCCUUCAGGACAUGGACUUAAACCAUUGGAUAUUGAGUUUAUGAAACGUUUGCAUGAGAAAGUGAAUAUCAUCCCACUAAUUGCCAAAGCAGACACACUCACACCGGAGGAAUGCCAGCAGUUUAAAAAACAGAUAAUGAAAUAAAUCCAAGAACAUAAAAUUAAAAUCUAUGAAUUUCCAGAAACAGACGAUGAAGAGGAAAAUAAGCUGGUUAAAAAGACGAAGGACCGUUUACCUCUUGCUGUGGUAGGUAGUAAUCCCAUCAUGGAAGUUCAUGGCAAGAGGGUCAGAGGGGGUGGGGCUGAAGUUGAAAAUGGUGAACAUUGUGAUUUUACAAUUUUAAGGAAUAUGUUGAUCAGAACACAUAUGCAGGACUUAAAAGAUGUUACCAAUAAUGUACACUAUGAGAACUACAGAAGCAGAAAACUGGCAGCUGUGACUUACAAUGGGGUUGACCACAACAAGAAUAAAGGACAGCUUACUAAGAGCCCUCUGGCACAAAUGGAAGAAGAAAGAAGGGAGCAUGUAGCCAAGAUGAAGAAGAUGGAAAUGGAGAUGGAGCAGGUGUUUGAGAUGAAAGUCAAAGAAAAAGUUCAAAAGCUGAAGGACUCUGAAGCUGAGCUCCAGCGGUGCCAUGAGCAAAUGAAGAAGAAUUUGGAAGCACAGCACAAAGAAUUAGAGGAAAAACGUCAUCAGUUUGAGGAGGAGAAAGCAAACUGGGAAGCUCAACAACGUAUUUUAGAACAGCAGAACUCUUCAAGAACCUUGGAAAAGAACAAGAAGAAAGGGAAGAUCUUUUAAACUCUUUAUUGACCACCAGUUACGUAUUAGUUGCCAAUAUGCCAGCUUGGACAUCAGUGUUUGUUGGAUCCGUUUGACCAGUUUGCACCAAUUUUAUCCAUAAUGAUGGAUUUAACAGCAUGACAAAAAUUAUUUUUUUGUUAUUGUUCUCGAUGGAGAUUAAGAUGCCUUGAAUUAUCUAGGGUGUUCUGUACUUAGAAAGUAACAGCUCUAAGUACCUUCCUACAUUUUUUUUUAUUAUUAAACAGAUGUCUUCAAUUUAAUGCAAGAGAACAUUUUACUGUUGUACAAUCAUGUUCUGGUGGUUUGUUUACAGGAUAUUCCAAAAUAAAAGGACUCUGGAAGGUUUUCAUUGAGGAUAAAUUGCCAUAAGAUGACACAAACUAUGCUUCUAUAUGAUAAUUAUAAUACAAAGGUUCCAUUCAAUGCAGCCUAUACAAUAAUGUAAUUUAGUCUAACACAGUUGACCCUAUUUUUGACACUUCCAUUGUUUAAAAAUACAUAUGGAAAAAAAAACCGUAUAUGCUUACAGUGCACCUAGAGCUUUUUAUAACAACCUUUUUUUGUUUGUUUGUUUGUUUGUUUUGGAUUCUUUAAAUAUAUAUUAUUCUCAUUUAGUGCCCUCUUUAGCCAGAAUCUCAUUACUACUUCAUUUUUGUAAUAACAUUUAAUUUAGAUAUUUUCCAUAUAUUGGACCUGCUAAAAUAGAAUAUAGCAUCUUUCAUAUGGUAGGAACCAACAGGGAAACUUUCUUUUAACUCCCUUUUUACACUUUAUGGUAAGUAGCAGGGGGAAAAUGCAUUUAUAGAUCAUUUCUAGGCAAAUUGUGAAGCUAACGACCAACCUGUUUCUACCUAUAUGCAGUCUCUUUAUUUUACUAGAAAUGGGAAUCAUGGCCUCUUGAAGAGAAAAAAAGUCACCAUCUGCAUUUAGCUGUAUUCAUAUAUUGCAUUUCUGUAUUUUUUGUUUGUAUUGUAAAAAAUUCACAUAAUAAACAAUGUUGUGAU
This is a non-coding RNA of Castor canadensis (American beaver), 2291 nucleotides long. Lineage: Eukaryota; Metazoa; Chordata; Mammalia; Rodentia; Castoridae. The record is from RefSeq and is a predicted model, not a curated record.